Molecule: ribosomal RNA, 484 nt
Filed under: uncultured bacterium
Lineage: Bacteria
Description: bacterial SSU rRNA
Rfam family: Bacterial small subunit ribosomal RNA
Source: RNAcentral
GAUUAACGCUAGCGGCAGGCCUAAUACAUGCAAGUCGAACGGGAUUCAAAGUAGCAAUAUUUUGAUGAGAGUGGCGCACGGGUGAGUAACACGUAUGCAAUUUACCUUUAACUGGGGGAUAGCCCUCCGAAAGGAGGAUUAAUACCGCAUAAUAUAUUGAAAUGGCAUCAUUUUAAUAUUAAACCUACGGGGGUUAAAGAUGAGCAUGCAUCCGAUUAGCUAGUUGGUGUGGUAACGGCUCACCAAGGCAACGAUCGGUAGGGGGUCUGAGAGGAUGAUCCCCCANACUGGUACUGAGACACGGACCAGACUCCUACGGGAGGCAGCAGUAAGGAAUAUUGGACAAUGGAGGCAACUCUGAUCCAGCCAUGCCGCGUGAAGGAUUAAGGCCCUAUGGGUUGUAAACUUCUUUUAGACGGGACAAAACCCCUUUACGUGUAAAGGGUUGAUGGUACUGUCAGAAUAAGCAUCGGCUAACUUCGUG